GAUGAAGAACGUAGCGAAAUGCGAUACGUAAUGUGAAUUGCAGAAUUCAGUGAAUCAUCGAGUCUUUGAACGCACAUUGCGCCCCCUGGUAUUCCGGGGGGCAUGCCUGUCCGAGCGUCAUUGCUGCCCUCAAGCACGGCUUGUGUGUUGGGUCUCGUCCCCCUUCCCGGGGGACGGGCCCGAAAGGCAGCGGCGGCACCGCGUCCGGUCCUCGAGCGUAUGGGGCUUUGUCACCCGCUCUGUAGGCCCGGCCGGCGCUUGCCGAUCAACCAAAACUUUUUUCCAGGUUGACCUCGGAUCAGGUAGGGAUACCCGCUGAACUUAAGCAUAUCAAUAAGCGGAGGA
This 345-nucleotide unclassified non-coding RNA is filed under the name soil metagenome. RNAcentral describes it as "partial contains 5.8S ribosomal RNA, internal transcribed spacer 2, and large subunit ribosomal RNA". The stretch from base 1 to 120 matches the Rfam family "5.8S ribosomal RNA", at positions 35 to 154 of the family's 154-position model. The record is from RNAcentral.